RNAcentral lists this unclassified non-coding RNA (210 nucleotides) under uncultured Gammaproteobacteria bacterium. Its description in RNAcentral is "partial 16S-23S ribosomal RNA intergenic spacer". The stretch from base 109 to 182 matches the Rfam family "tRNA". The record is from RNAcentral. Lineage: Bacteria; Pseudomonadati; Pseudomonadota; Gammaproteobacteria.
CCUCCUUAACGAGAACUCAGUAGCCUCUCGGUAAAGUGCCUACCUCUAUUACUUGAUCCUGUAGAUUUUUAGAACAUAAAGUCUGCAAUGGUUUCGAAAGACACAGAUGGGUCUGUAGCUCAGUUGGUUAGAGCGCACCCCUUAUAAGGGUGAGGUCGGUGGUUCAAAUCCACCCAAACCCACCAAUAUUUUGAANUUAUUUUGAAAAAC